Molecule: ribosomal RNA, 639 nt
Filed under: uncultured archaeon
Lineage: Archaea
Description: bacterial SSU rRNA
Rfam family: Archaeal small subunit ribosomal RNA
Source: RNAcentral
GACUAAGACAUGCUAGUCGAGCGUCUUCAGGCUAUGUUGAGGACGCGGCGUACGGCUCAGUAACACGUGGCCAACCUACCCUUAGGACGGAGACAACCCCGGGAAACUGGGGCUAAUCCCCGAUAGGUGAGGAGGCCUGGAAUGGUCUCUCACCCAAAGGACGUUGAAGCCAUGCUUUUCAGCGUUGCCUAAGGAUGGAGCCGCGGCCGAUCAGGUUGUUGGUGAGGUAAUGGCUCACCAAGCCUAUAACCGGUACGGGCCAUGAGAGUGGGAGCCCGGAGAUGGGCACUGAGACAAGGGCCCAGGCCCUACGGGGCGCAGCAGUUGCGAAACCUCCACAAUGCACGAAAGUGCGAUGGGGCUAACCCGAGUGCCGUCCGCUGAGGAGGGCUUUUCUCCGCUGUAAGGAGGCGGAGGAAUAAGGAGAGGGCAAGACUGGUGUCAGCCGCCGCGGUAAUACCAGCUCUCCGAGUGGUAGGGACGAUUAUUGGGUCUAAAGCGUUCGUAGCCGGCUUGGCAAGUCUCUCGUUAAAUCCAGUGACCUAAUCGCUGGGCUGCGGGAGAUACUGUCAGGCUUGGGAGCGGAAGAGGUCGACGGUAUUCUCGGGGUAGGGGUGAAAUCCUGUAAUCUCGGGAGGA